RNAcentral lists this transfer RNA (74 nucleotides) under Actinia tenebrosa (Australian red waratah sea anemone). RNAcentral's name for it is "tRNA-Arg". It matches the Rfam family "tRNA". Rfam says of the family: Transfer RNA (tRNA) molecules are approximately 80 nucleotides in length. Their secondary structure includes four short double-helical elements and three loops (D, anti-codon, and T loops). Lineage: Eukaryota; Metazoa; Cnidaria; Anthozoa; Actiniaria; Actiniidae. The record is from Rfam by way of RNAcentral.
GCUUCCGUGGCGCAAUGGAUUAGCGCGUUGGACUUCUAAUUCAAAGGUUGUGGGUUCGAGUCCCACCGGAGGUG